This 303-nucleotide ribosomal RNA is filed under the name uncultured bacterium. RNAcentral describes it as "partial 16S ribosomal RNA". It matches the Rfam family "Bacterial small subunit ribosomal RNA", at positions 507 to 809 of the family's 1533-position model. The record is from RNAcentral.
AGCAGUAGCCACGGUAAUACGGAGGGAGCUAGCGUUGUUCGGAAUUACUGGGCGUAAAGCGCGCGUAGGCGGUUACUCAAGUCAGAGGUGAAAGCCCGGGGCUCAACCCCGGAACUGCCUUUGAAACUAGGUGACUAGAAUCUUGGAGAGGUCAGUGGAAUUCCGAGUGUAGAGGUGAAAUUCGUAGAUAUUUGGAAGAACACCAGUGGCGAAGGCGACUGACUGGACAAGUAUUGACGCUGAGGUGCGAAAGCGUGGGGAGCAAACAGGAUUAGAUACCCCAGUAGUCCCUGUCUCUUAUAU